ACUCUUGCCCAGCCUUCUGAAAGGAAGAUUAAUCCAGGAUGGGAUCAUGAGUUCACAUGUCCGCAUGAUUAAAGGUAUUUUCCGGUAGACGAUGGGGAUGCGUUCCAUUAGAUAGUAGGCGGGGUAACGGCCCACCUAGUCAACGAUGGAUAGGGGUUCUGAGAGGAAGGUCCCCCACAUUGGAACUGAGACACGGUCCAAACUCCUACGGGAGGCAGCAGUGAGGAAUAUUGGUCAAUGGGCGAUGGCCUGAACCAGCCAAGUAGCGUGAAGGAUGACUGCCCUAUGGGUUGUAAACUUCUUUUAUAAAGGAAUAAAGUCGGGUAUGCAUACCCGUUUGCAUGUACUUUAUGAAUAAGGAUCGGCUAACUCCGUGCCAGCAGCCGCGGUAAUACGGAGGAUCCGAGCGUUAUCCGGAUUUAUUGGGUUUAAAGGGAGCGUAGAUGGAUGUUUAAGUCAGUUGUGAAAGUUUGCGGCUCAACCGUAAAAUUGCAGUUGAUACUGGAUGUCUUGAGUGCAGUUGAGGCAGGCGGAAUUCGUGGUGUAGCGGUGAAAUGCUUAGAUAUCACGAAGAACUCCGAUUGCGAAGGCAGCCUGCUAAGCUGCAACUGACAUUGAGGCUCGAAAGUGUGGGUAUCAAACAGGAUUAGAUACCCUGGUAGUCCACACGGUAAACGA
This 678-nucleotide ribosomal RNA is filed under the name uncultured bacterium. RNAcentral describes it as "bacterial SSU rRNA". It matches the Rfam family "Bacterial small subunit ribosomal RNA", at positions 135 to 809 of the family's 1533-position model. The record is from RNAcentral.